This 380-nucleotide unclassified non-coding RNA is filed under the name uncultured Actinomycetes bacterium. RNAcentral describes it as "uncultured actinobacterium contains 16S-23S intergenic spacer region". The record is from RNAcentral. Lineage: Bacteria; Bacillati; Actinomycetota; Actinomycetes.
UCCGAGUUGACCCCGGCAGUCUCCUAUGAGUCCCCACCAUCACGUGCUGGCAACAUAGAACGAGGGUUGCGCUCGUUGCGGGACUUAACCCAACAUCUCACGACACGAGCUGACGACAACCAUGCACCACCUGUGAACCAGCCCCAAAGGGGAAGGACUGUUUCCAGCCCGGUCCGGUCCAUGUCAAGCCUUGGUAAGGUUCUUCGCGUUGCAUCGAAUUAAUCCGCAUGCUCCGCCGCUUGUGCGGGCCCCCGUCAAUUCCUUUGAGUUUUAGCCUUGCGGCCGUACUCCCCAGGCGGGGCGCUUAAUGCGUUAGCUACGGCACGGAUCCCGUGGAAGGAAACCCACACCUAGCGCCCACCGUUUACGGCGUGGACUAC